AGGCGAUGAAGGACGUGCUAAUCUGCGAUAAGCGCCGGUAAGGUGAUAUGAACCGUUAUAACCGGCGAUUUCCGAAUGGGGAAACCCAGUGUGACUCGUCACACUAUCAUUAACUGAAUCCAUAGGUUAAUGAGGCGAACCGGGGGAACUGAAACAUCUAAGUACCCCGAGGAAAAGAAAUCAACCGAGAUUCCCCCAGUAGCGGCGAGCGAACGGGGAGGAGCCCAGAGCCUGAAUCAGCAUGUGUGUUAGUGGAAGCGUCUGGAAAGGCGCGCGAUACAGGGUGACAGCCCCGUACACAAAAGCGCAUGUGCUGUGAGCUCGAUGAGUAGGGCGGGACACGUGGUAUCCUGUCUGAAUAUGGGGGGACCAUCCUCCAAGGCUAAAUACUCCUGACUGACCGAUAGUGAACCAGUACCGUGAGGGAAAGGCGAAAAGAACCCCGGCGAGGGGAGUGAAAAAGAACCUGAAACCGUGUACGUACAAGCAGUGGGAGCCCCACCACUAAGCCAGUGGUGAACUCCACAUACGCAUCCUUUGCUGAGGAUACGGUUAACGGAGCGAAAGCGACGUUCAACCGCAAAAGAAGCAGAGGGGGCUUAGUGGUGG
This 609-nucleotide ribosomal RNA is filed under the name Salmonella enterica subsp. enterica serovar Heidelberg. RNAcentral describes it as "partial 23S ribosomal RNA". It matches the Rfam family "Bacterial large subunit ribosomal RNA", at positions 44 to 677 of the family's 2925-position model. The record is from RNAcentral. Lineage: Bacteria; Pseudomonadati; Pseudomonadota; Gammaproteobacteria; Enterobacterales; Enterobacteriaceae.